RNAcentral lists this long non-coding RNA (912 nucleotides) under Marmota monax (woodchuck). Lineage: Eukaryota; Metazoa; Chordata; Mammalia; Rodentia; Sciuridae. The record is from RNAcentral.
AAAAAUUACCCACUGGAUCUCUUCCAGUCCCAGCUGAUUAGAAAUUGCAAGAGAGGGCAGCACAUUCCUUGGUGACGAUGAAUUGUAUUCUCACGAACUGAUUCAUGAAAACAUGGAAAAAUGCACCCAAUACUCUUGAGUUAACCAGAGUCUAGAAACAUUGCUUCUUCAUGGCUUUCCACACCCAGCCCACCCAGACACUGUGGUUCCUUUCACUACUGACAAAGUCUUCUAGAAAUUAAGAUUAGGUGUCAUUCUUUAUCCUGUUUCCCAAAUUUCUAUCACUGUACUGCUGAGAUUUGGGUUAUGAUGGAGAGGGGAGCCCUUUUGAAUUGAUAUCUGGUUCUUGCUUACAUUUGGCCCCUAGAGAGAAAUGUGGAGUUUUUAUUGAUUCUACACAGGUAUGCACUUGCCUGCACACAUGCACAUUCAACUUUACAUUCUGCCUGUCUACUCCUUUUGAACUUCUAGUCUGUAUCAUCCAGUGCCAUUGGGCAAUGACGUGGGCUGCAGGGUGGGCUCCUGACAGCUCCUCAGUGUCCUGUCCAAUGUGGUUCCACAGCCUUGCAUGCACAAGGCUCUGGGUUCAAUCCCCAGCACCCCCAGAAAACAAACAAAAAAGUACCAAUGUGAUUUUCCAGUCCUUUCCCCUCACCUCUGUGGUCUCCCUUCUCCAUAGCCAACACAGGGAGGAAAACCAGAAUGGUCUUCUCCCUGAACUGAUAAGAAUGACAUCAACAGAGCUAAGCACAGUGGCACAGGCCUGUAAUCCUAGCAACUCAGGAGGCUGAGGCAGGAAGAUCACAGAUUAGAGUCCAGCCUCCAUAAUUUAGCAAGACCUAGUCUCAAAAUAAAAAAUAAAAAGGGCUGGAGCUGGAGGUUGUAUCUCAGUGAUAGAGCAUCCCCAGGUUC